AUUAAAGCAUUGAUUGAGAGUAGUAGAAAGAAAGAGGUUUUAAAGAGAGAUGGACGUAUGGUGAGAGUCCUCAAACUAUCACUUUUGAACUUGCUCAUGAGCAGCGGGGUGAAAUUAAGUAAGCUUCGCCGGUUAUUACCGUUAUUUUAAUUAAGAGAAAAUUUGGAUGGUACCGCGUAAAUCGCUCCAAUA
This 192-nucleotide non-coding RNA is filed under the name Clostridium cylindrosporum. RNAcentral's name for it is "T-box sequence". It matches the Rfam family "T-box leader". Rfam says of the family: Uncharged tRNA acts as the effector for transcription antitermination of genes in the T-box leader family. T-boxes are found upstream of many aminoacyl-tRNA synthetase genes and some amino acid biosynthetic genes usually in Gram-positive bacteria. The anticodon of a specific tRNA base pairs to a specifier sequence within the T-box motif, and the NCCA acceptor tail of the tRNA base pairs to a conserved bulge in the T-box antiterminator hairpin. Lineage: Bacteria; Bacillati; Bacillota; Clostridia; Eubacteriales; Clostridiaceae. The record is from RNAcentral.